GAUGAACGCUGGCGGCGUGCCUAAUACAUGCAAGUCGAGCGAACGGACGAGAAGCUUGCUUCUCUGAUGUUAGCGGCGGACGGGUGAGUAACGCGUGGAUAACCUACCUAUAAGACUGGGAUAACUUCGGGAAACCGGAGCUAAUACCGGAUAAUAUUUUGAACCGCAUGGUUCAAAAGUGAAAGACGGUCUUGCUGUCACUUAUAGAUGGAUCCGCGCUGCAUUAGCUAGUUGGUAAGGUAACGGCUUACCAAGGCAACGAUGCAUAGCCGACCUGAGAGGGUGAUCGGCCACACUGGAACUGAGACACGGUCCAGACUCCUACGGGAGGCAGCAGUAGGGAAUCUUCCGCAAUGGGCGAAAGCCUGACGGAGCAACGCCGCGUGAGUGAUGAAGGUCUUCGGAUCGUAAAACUCUGUUAUUAGGGAAGAACAUAUGUGUAAGUAACUGUGCACAUCUUGACGGUACCUAAUCAGAAAGCCACGGCUAACUACGUGCCAGCAGCCGCGGUAAUACGUAGGUGGCAAGCGUUAUCCGGAAUUAUUGGGCGUAAAGCGCGCGUAGGCGGUUUUUUAAGUCUGAUGUGAAAGCCCACGGCUCAACCGUGGAGGGUCAUUGGAAACUGGAAAACUUGAGUGCAGAAGAGGAAAGUGGAAUUCCAUGUGUAGCGGUGAAAUGCGCAGAGAUAUGGAGGAACACCAGUGGCGAAGGCGACUUUCUGGUCUGUAACUGACGCUGAUGUGCGAAAGCGUGGGGAUCAAACAGGAUUAGAUACCCUGGUAGUCCACGCCGUAAACGAUGAGUGCUAAGUGUUAGGGGGUUUCCGCCCCUUAGUGCUGCAGCUAACGCAUUAAGCACUCCGCCUGGGGAGUACGACCGCAAGGUUGAAACUCAAAGGAAUUGACGGGGACCCGCACAAGCGGUGGAGCAUGUGGUUUAAUUCGAAGCAACGCGAAGAACCUUACCAAAUCUUGACAUCCUUUGACAACUCUAGAGAUAGAGCCUUCCCCUUCGGGGGACAAAGUGACAGGUGGUGCAUGGUUGUCGUCAGCUCGUGUCGUGAGAUGUUGGGUUAAGUCCCGCAACGAGCGCAACCCUUAAGCUUAGUUGCCAUCAUUAAGUUGGGCACUCUAAGUUGACUGCCGGUGACAAACCGGAGGAAGGUGGGGAUGACGUCAAAUCAUCAUGCCCCUUAUGAUUUGGGCUACACACGUGCUACAAUGGACAAUACAAAGGGCAGCGAAACCGCGAGGUCAAGCAAAUCCCAUAAAGUUGUUCUCAGUUCGGAUUGUAGUCUGCAACUCGACUACAUGAAGCUGGAAUCGCUAGUAAUCGUAGAUCAGCAUGCUACGGUGAAUACGUUCCCGGGUCU
RNAcentral lists this ribosomal RNA (1372 nucleotides) under uncultured bacterium. Its description in RNAcentral is "bacterial SSU rRNA". It matches the Rfam family "Bacterial small subunit ribosomal RNA", at positions 28 to 1381 of the family's 1533-position model. The record is from RNAcentral.